GCCAGAUGUGGCCAAAUCCCUACAGCCAAGAGGCACAGCUCUCCAUGGAGAGCACCUGCUGCUGUUCAUGUGUUCAUGUAUUGCUUCCCUAACUCAUAGCAGGAAUGGUUUCUUUGUUAUAUAUCACAACUCACGGCCAAUUAUUUUGCAGCCUGUUAAGUUUAAUGGAAAACUUAAGCUGCCUGUAUGGGAAACUGGUAAUCAUAGCUUGAACCUCUGAUUAAUCAAAGACAAGUGUCAGGUCAGCUGUGGGAGCACAGGUGAGAGUCAUUUAGCUCCUCUUAGACCUCAUUUAAGGGCUGACCCCCACUAAGGCAGCAUCUCUUGGAGGUUGCUUCAUGGUGGAGAUUGCCUCAGCAUUUCCCAGUGAAGGCAUCCAUAGUGGUGAGUUUUCCUUAUAAAUAACCUUUUAAGUAUCUGUUAUUAUCUUUAUACCAUUCCAUCUUAUACUGCUAUCGGCUGCAGCUUCUGCUCUUCCAUCCCCACCUCUACCUUCCCCUGAUGUGUCUCCUGUGAUCCCUCUAUCAGGAGAUGAGUGAUUUCCAUGCAAAUCUCAUUAGAUGCCUUCAUCCCCUACAGUCUACAGUGUAAUUGACUUUCUGGGACCUUGACUGCAUCGUGGCAUUCCCCAGCUGGCCUUCUAUUCAGCAUUGCCCUGGAAAUGAAAGCAAAGAGGAAUGAUUUACAAGGUUUUCAGGAUGAAUCUGGAAAAACUCAGCAAACCAGAACUACUGACGCUGUUUAGCAUUCUGGAGGGAGAGUUGGAAGCAAGGGAUCUUGUCAUAGAAGCCUUAAAGGUAUGUUGUAAGCACCCUGAUAAGGGACAAAUGGCAACAGCGCUACCGGUUUAGGAUCCUAUCUUAGUACCAGCAGUGAUAUAGAUGGUGUAUAUUGCUCUGUGUCUCUAUAUUUGCUGCACGAGGUGUUUCAGUGUUGAACUGCAGUGCUGUGUGUGUGCUUUCAUCAGCUCUGAUAAAGAGUUCUGCUGUCCUGAGAAAAGAAGAAGGUCUGUUAGACUUCCUCUGCUGGUUGCGUUCUGACUUAGGAGGGAAGGAGUCCUAAUAAAGCAGAACAUCCCUCCA
Molecule: long non-coding RNA, 1082 nt
Filed under: Coturnix japonica (Japanese quail)
Lineage: Eukaryota; Metazoa; Chordata; Aves; Galliformes; Phasianidae
Description: lncRNA (ENSCJPG00005016668.1)
Source: RNAcentral